Molecule: non-coding RNA, 281 nt
Organism: Biomphalaria pfeifferi
Lineage: Eukaryota; Metazoa; Mollusca; Gastropoda; Planorbidae
Source: the annotation of a GenBank genome assembly
UGGGGGGGGGGGGGGGGAUAGCUGAGGGCAGAGUUUAAAGUUCCAGGACCAUCAAUCAGACGAGACAAGUGAGACUAAAAAAGUUAAACUAAAACUAAGGCUCAACUGCCGUUAAGGGCUCAGAAAACAGCUCAGCCCGAGCCUGGAUAUAAACUCAAAGCCUCUUAGCUAGUGGUGAACUGACUAAGCACAGAGCCACUUUUAACAAAGCAGCUAAGGGAGAUAAUAAAAUGUUGUUACAAAAGUAAAAGAAAAAAAUUGCCCCCCCCCCCCCCCCCCCC